ACAGUUCAGUGAACUCUUGUACCUCAUGUACAAUCCAGUAUACACUCAUGUAUGUCCUGUGUACAGUCCAAUAUAUACUUGUGUAUGUCCAGUGUACAGCCCAAUGUACAGUCCAGUGUAUGGUCUAGUAUACACUUGUGUAUGUUCAGUGUACAGUCCAAUAGUCAUAUACAUCCAGUGUACAACCCAGUAUAGUAUAUACUCCAGGGUAUUGUCCAAUAUACACUCGUGUACAUCCAGUGUUCAGGCCGAUGUACAACCCAGGGUACGUCCAGUGUACACUCAUGUAUGUCCAGUGUACACUCAUGUAUGUCCAGUGUACACUCAUGUAUGUCCAGUGUACACUCAUGUAUGUCCAGUGCACACUCAUGUACGUCCAGUGCACCAUCCAGUGUACAGUCUGGUAUACACUCCAGUGUACUGCCCUGUUCACUGUUCCUUGAAAUAA
Molecule: long non-coding RNA, 448 nt
Filed under: Capra hircus (goat)
Lineage: Eukaryota; Metazoa; Chordata; Mammalia; Artiodactyla; Bovidae
Description: lncRNA (ENSCHIG00010015269.1)
Source: RNAcentral